This is a long non-coding RNA of Oreochromis aureus, 2315 nucleotides long. NCBI's taxonomy places the organism in Eukaryota, Metazoa, Chordata, Actinopteri, Cichliformes, Cichlidae. The record is from Ensembl.
GGGACCUGUACCCCCAAAAUCCUUUUCUGGUUUCCUAAUUAGCUACACCUGCAUACAAGCAAUCACACCUGAGUCCCAUUAACCAACCAUGAUGGAGAGGGAAACUUUUUAAAAGGGCUGCACUGGCCUUGCUGUGUUUUUCAGGUACUUGAUUUGGUAGCAGGUGACAGAAGGUGCAGAGUUUGCUGCUUCCUACAGCUGAAGCCAUGGGUUUUCUAGUAAUAUGGUGCAUGCUGUUCUUGUUAGUUAUGGGAGGACCUCAAAUAAAUGAUCAGAAGGUGCUUGUUGCAGAUGAUCGAUUGGAUUUAAGUAGUCUUAACUCUGGGAAUGACACUUUGUAUGGCAGUGAGACAUUUGGAAAUCAUACAUCGCCCUUGAAUACAAAUAACCACAACACAACUAUGUCCUCCACUAACCAGUAUCACUCUGAAUCUGAAACCCUAAAACAGAAUGGCUCUGUGUCCAAAGAACCAAAGUCUGGUGUUCAGCCCCUACCAAAUCCACGGGCAUCUCAACCACGUCAGUGCAAACCCAAACAGUCACAGGUGCCCCAGCAACAACUAAAAGCUUCCUGCCCACCCAAGAAGCAGCCUUCAUGCCGACCCUGUCCGCCCCAGGGGUCUAGCUGCUGGCCCUGCCCACACAAGGAGCAGUCUGUCUGCCGGCCUUGCCCAACCUUGAGCUGCCAGCUAAAGCAGCCCCAAAAGCCAGAGUUGUCUGAGCAUGUUGGUGACCCAGCACUGUAUCAGCCUCAGGUGACCCAGCAGACUGGUUUGCAUCCACCCAGUCUACAUCAGGUGACCCAGCAGACUGGUUUGCAGCCACCCAGUCUACAUCAGGUGACCCAGCAGACUGGUUUACAUCCACACCAUCUACCCAGUCUAUUUCAGGUGACCCAGCAGACCAGUUUGCAUCCACACUUUCAACUUCAGGUGACAAAGCAGACUGGUUUACAUCCACAGCAUCCACAUCAGGUACCCCAGCAAACUGGUUUGCAUUCACACUCUCUGCCUCUGGCAAUGCAGCAGAAAGGCUUCCCACCCCUGCAUCCUCAGCCACCACAGGGCCCUCAGCAGGCUGCCUUUCUGCCCCAGCACCCCCAUCCACAGGUUCCCCAGCAGGCUGUCUUUCCAUCCCUGCACCCCCAUCCGCAGGUGCCCCAGCAGGCAGUCUUCCCGCCCCUGUACCUCCAUCCGCAGGUGCCCCAGCAGGCUGCCGUUCUGCCCCUGUACCCUCAGCCCAUGCCUCAGCAGACAUAUUACCAAUUCAAGCAGCUUCUGGAAGCCCAAUGGCCCCAACGGCCACUCUACCAGCUCCAGGCCAAGCAGCCACGCCACCAGCCUUUCAUGUCACACUACCAAUCCCGAUUGCCAAGCUACAGUCCCAAGGUGCCACUGUACCAGGCCAAGAAGCUUCAGCACCCCCGCAGAUCAGAUACCAACCUUAACGAUUUCAGAGCUUCAUGUCGGCACAUCAUCCUUGUGUUGAAGAAGAACCUGAGGGGAGCAGGGCACUGCAGUGUGGAACCCGCUGGACUAUUGGACUGACCUUUCAAAUGAACGUUUAGUUUGUGCUUUAGUCUUGAAUACCUGAUGUUUUGUAUGAUCUGUUUGAUGCCAAGUUUCUGAGAACCUUUGAAUGUUUUAAACAUGAAUCUUGAGGUUUGGUUUAGCUCAUGUUUUUGUUGUUGUUGUUUUUGUUAAGCCUGUGCAAAAAAUAAUCCACAUUCAACCAACACACCAGUGCUUUUCUCAGAUUUGUAGAUAUUCUUUGGUAAAUGGUGAAAAGCUGAUACCAAAACAGUCUCUGCAUUCUUUGAGAAACGGAUGUUGCAUCAUAACUGUUGUGACACGGGGGUUUAUGGUACCCACAUCCAAUCUAUUUAAGAUUUUUCUCUAUUUUAUGAUUGUGAUUAAUGGUUCUUAGAGGUUCUUUAGAUUUAUAAAGGUCUUAAAUUAGUGCACCUGUUUAGUAUAAGCUUGGUGGGGUAAGUGGGACCAGGUGCCCAGUUUCCCCAUGAAGCAGCCAAACAUUUAAAAUGCAAGUAUACCAAGCUGGGAGGCAGCACGUGCACAAGAAGCUACUGCAAUCUCUCAAUUUUUGCUCAAGCUGCAAAGCUGCUGGUGUCUGCUUUCCAGGUACAGCUUAAAUACUAACCAAAUCUGAAAGAGCACUGGACAAAGAUGGGAGUGUGUGUGAUUAAACUUUGCAGAUUAUUUUUAAUCCCUGUAUUCUCACUGUAACACUGAACAUGCCUAGUUUCUGUCAUUUGAACCAUUGUCAUCUGAAUUUGUCAUAUUAAAUUAAUAUAAAAG